ACGAACGCUGGCGGCGCGCCUAACACAUGCAAGUCGAACGGAGCUUAGAGAGCUUGCUUUUUAAGCUUAGUGGCGAACGGGUGAGUAACGCGUGAGUAACCUGCCCUAGAGUGGGGGACAACAGUUGGAAACGACUGCUAAUACCGCAUAAGCCCACGACCCGGCAUCGGGAAGAGGGAAAAGGAGCAAUCCGCUUUGAGAUGGCCUCGCGUCCGAUUAGCUAGUUGGUGAGGUAACGGCCCACCAAGGCGACGAUCGGUAGCCGGACUGAGAGGUUGAACGGCCACAUUGGGACUGAGACACGGCCCAGACUCCUACGGGAGGCAGCAGUGGGGAAUAUUGCACAAUGGGGGAAACCCUGAUGCAGCGACGCCGCGUGGAGGAAGAAGGUCUUCGGAUUGUAAACUCCUGUUGUUGAGGAAGAUAAUGACGGUACUCAACAAGGAAGUGACGGCUAACUACGUGCCAGCAGCCGCGGUAAAACGUAGGUCACAAGCGUUGUCCGGAAUUACUGGGUGUAAAGGGAGCGCAGGCGGGCAGACAAGUUGGAAGUGAAAUCCAUGGGCUCAACCCAUGAACUGCUUUCAAAACUGUAUGUCUUGAGUAGUGCAGAGGUAGGCGGAAUUCCCGGUGUAGCGGUGGAAUGCGUAGAUAUCGGGAGGAACACCAGUGGCGAAGGCGGCCUACUGGGCACCAACUGACGCUGAGGCUCGAAAGUGUGGGUAGCAAACAGGAUUAGAUA
Molecule: ribosomal RNA, 742 nt
Filed under: uncultured Lachnospiraceae bacterium
Lineage: Bacteria; Bacillati; Bacillota; Clostridia; Lachnospirales; Lachnospiraceae
Description: bacterial SSU rRNA
Rfam family: Bacterial small subunit ribosomal RNA
Source: RNAcentral